GAUGAACGCUGGCGGCGUGCCUAAUACAUGCAAGUCGAGCGAACAGACGAGGAGCUUGCUCCUCUGACGUUAGCGGCGGACGGGUGAGUAACACGUGGAUAACCUACCUAUAAGACUGGGAUAACUUCGGGAAACCGGAGCUAAUACCGGAUAAUAUAUUGAACCGCAUGGUUCAAUAGUGAAAGACGGUUUUGCUGUCACUUAUAGAUGGAUCCGCGCCGCAUUAGCUAGUUGGUAAGGUAACGGCUUACCAAGGCAACGAUGCGUAGCCGACCUGAGAGGGUGAUCGGCCACACGGGAACUGAGACGCGGUCCAGACUCCUACGGGAGGCAGCAGUAGGGAAUCUUCCGCAAUGGGCGAAAGCCUGACGGAGCAACGCCGCGUGAAUGAUGAAGGUCUUCGGAUCGUAAAACUCUGUUAUUAGGGAAGAACAAAUGUGUAAGUAACUAUGCACGUCUUGACGGUACCUAAUCAGAAAGCCACGGCUAACUACGUG
This 497-nucleotide ribosomal RNA is filed under the name uncultured bacterium. Its description in RNAcentral is "partial 16S ribosomal RNA". It matches the Rfam family "Bacterial small subunit ribosomal RNA", at positions 28 to 507 of the family's 1533-position model. The record is from RNAcentral.